Molecule: long non-coding RNA, 485 nt
Filed under: Ananas comosus (pineapple)
Lineage: Eukaryota; Viridiplantae; Streptophyta; Magnoliopsida; Poales; Bromeliaceae
Description: long non-coding RNA (ACOM_LNC020278)
Source: RNAcentral
AUUUUUGAAUAGAGAAUAAUGUAAUUAAAAUAUAAAAUAUAGUAAAAAAUUGAUUCCUGCACGAAUAUAAAGAUAAAAAAUAAUUAACUAUAUACCUCUCAAAACUUCAAAAAUAUUUAAUUUACUCUUAUUUUUAUUUUUAAUAUAUUUGAAAAGACGAAAAAUCAAAAUACUUCUUUUGCCCCUAACUGAAAGGCAAAUAAAAAAAAAUUAUUAUGGUAAAAAGAUAUAUUUGAAAUGGUCAAAUAAUAAUUUUAUAGAAAUAACCGUUAUUACUUAUACUUUACUGACAGAAUUAAACUGUAUAUUUAAAAUAACUUAAAACGUAAGAAGAGUAUUUUUAAUAUUAGCUUUUUAAAAGGGGUAAAUUAUAAAGUCGAAAAUUUUUCGGGAGUAUAUGAACAAUUGUUCUAGAUCUUAAAAAGUGAGUUAUCAGAUAAUUAAUUAAAAUUAUACACAAAAUUAGAAUAAUUUUUUUAAAAAAA